This 363-nucleotide RNase P RNA is filed under the name Euryhalocaulis sp. RNAcentral's name for it is "RNase P RNA component class A". It matches the Rfam family "Bacterial RNase P class A". From Rfam's summary of the family: Ribonuclease P (RNase P) is a ubiquitous endoribonuclease, found in archaea, bacteria and eukarya as well as chloroplasts and mitochondria. Its best characterised activity is the generation of mature 5'-ends of tRNAs by cleaving the 5'-leader elements of precursor-tRNAs. Cellular RNase Ps are ribonucleoproteins. The record is from RNAcentral. Lineage: Bacteria; Pseudomonadati; Pseudomonadota; Alphaproteobacteria; Maricaulales; Maricaulaceae.
UCAGACGGCCGGACGGUCGCUCCGCAGCUUGCUGCGGGGAGGAAAGUCCGGGCUCCACGGAUGCGGGGCGCCGGGUAACGCCCGGCGGGAGCAAUCCCAGGGAAAGCGCCGCAGAGAGCAGACCGCCGCGGAUUCGUUCGCGGCAAGGGUGAAAGGGUGCGGUAAGAGCGCACCGCGCCCCUGGCAACAGGGGCGGCAUGGCAAGCCACGCCUGGAGCAAGACCAAGUAGGGACGGCGGGCCUUGAGUGGCCGGGCGAGCAUCCGCGCCGCUGUCCGGGUAGGUCGCGCGAGGCGCGCCGCGAGGCGCGUCCCAGAUGAAUGAUCGUCCUCGACAGAACCCGGCUUACAGGCCGUCUGACCGC